CAGCAGAGAGGCUAUAUACAGUAGAGAGGCUAUAUACAGUAGAGGCUAUAUACAGUAGAGGCUAUAUACAGUAGAGAGACUAUAUAGAGUAGAGAGGCUAUAUGCAGUAGAGAGGCUAUAUACAGUAGAGAGGCUAUAUACAGUAGAGAGGCUACAUACAGUAGAGGCUAUAUACAGUAGUGAGGCUAUAUGCAGUAGAGAGACUAUAUACAGUAGAGAGGCUAUAUACAGUAGUGAGGCUAUAUACAGUAGAGAGGCUAUAUACAGUAGAGAGGAUAUAUACAGUAGAGAGGCUAUAUACAGUAGAGAGGCUAUAUACAGUAGAGAGGCUACAUACAGUAGAGGCUAUAUACAGUAUAGAGGCUAUAUACAGUAGAGAGGCUAUAUACAGUAGAGGCUAUAUACAGUAGAGAGGCUAUAUACAGUAGAGAGGCUAUAUACAGUAGAGAGGCUAUAUACAGUAGGGAGGCUAUAUACAGUAGGGAGGCUAUAUACAGUAGAGAGGCUAUAUAGAGUAGAGAGGCUAUAUACAGUAGAGAGGUUAUAUACAGUAGAGAGGCUAUAUACAGUAGAGAGGCUAUAUACAGUAGAGAGGUUAUAUACAGUAGAG
Molecule: long non-coding RNA, 610 nt
Filed under: Salmo salar (Atlantic salmon)
Lineage: Eukaryota; Metazoa; Chordata; Actinopteri; Salmoniformes; Salmonidae
Description: lncRNA (ENSSSAG00000108859.1)
Source: RNAcentral